This 229-nucleotide ribosomal RNA is filed under the name uncultured bacterium. RNAcentral's name for it is "partial 16S ribosomal RNA". It matches the Rfam family "Bacterial small subunit ribosomal RNA", at positions 568 to 796 of the family's 1533-position model. The record is from RNAcentral.
UCCGUAGGCGGGCAGCUAAGUCAGUGGUGAAAGUCUGCAGCUCAACUGUAGAAUUGCCAUUGAUACUGGUUGUCUUGAAUUAUUAUGAAGUGGUUAGAAUAUGUAGUGUAGCGGUGAAAUGCAUAGAUAUUACAUAGAAUACCAAUUGCGAAGGCAGAUCACUAAUAAUAUAUUGACGCUGAUGGACGAAAGCGUGGGGAGCGAACAGGAUUAGAUACCCGAGUAGUCC